AGUAGUCCGCACAUGUACUCUGUUGGAAACCUCAUUAGGUACCUUGUGGCCUGCAUGGAAUGUCACAGGAAAGAUCAGAUUCAAACAACAACACAAGUGUAACCAGGAGCAAGAGGGUAUUGAUUGAUUACCAUCUACGAAGACACCUGUAAGUUUCCUUUCAACAUUUUUUUGUUUUUUGAGUAUUUUGAUGAACAAGUGCUCUGUGUAUCCCUUAACUUAUUAACGAGAGUGCAAACUCGAACCUGGGCUAUCCACCAUCUUCUAUCCAUUUUACGAUGAUUUGUGAUCAGUCUCUCCUUUAUCUCUGUUGUCGGUUGCAAAUAUUUCCAUGGCUCCCCCCACAUUCUACAGUAUAAGAAAUGUUACAGAACUCCUAUAGAAAUUGUAGCAGGAAAGGAUAACUAAUAAGGCAAAAUUAGCUCUAAUUAUCUUUCUCUGGGACAAGUAGCAAACAUGUGGAGUCUGAAAAGCUUAAGAGGUAAUAAUUGCGGAAAGGAACUCAUACUGCUGAGUGCUGACCAGCACAGUGGGAGACAGAGAGAGAGGAGAGAAAUAUAGAUCAAACUGAAAUUGUACCUAGGUAUGCGUCCAACCCAUAUUUGCUUGGAGGUAUAGUUCUCCUUCACUUUUACCAAUCCCUUGGCCCAAGAGGCUUUGCUCUGCAUGAGCUCAAAAGCCCGCUUGCGGCAGUCUGAAGAUGUCUCGAUAAAAAAGUAACAAGACCAACUAGAUCUUGAAGCACCUAAAAGAUAAAACCAAAAUUCAGUGCAGCAAAAAGUAGCACUGCACUCAGUAUUACCAUGGCAGACAGGGCUAUUACCAUGGCAACCGUUGUGAUCAGCCCGGUUAUAGUAGUUUGUAACCAGAAUCCUUUUCUCUUUCAUGGCAAUGGCAAGAAGUCCUGCCAUUCCAGCAAGUUGUGCACCAAUACCAAAUCCAGGUAGCCUCUCCCAAUCUGCAACAAGAAACCUCAAGCUUGGAUCGCUGCAGUUUGGAGGAUGCUGAUGAAUCCAUAUAUCUCUCUGUACUUGUCUGGUCAAUGGGUAGUUUUCUUCAUCAGAUCCUACAAUCUUUUAUUUUCAUUCCUAAGUUAGAUUUGCAUGUGCAACAUUAACAAAACAAUUAUAUGUUCAGGCAAGAUUGCAUACCCAGGGAGGAUAUUGUCUAUACUGAUUUGCAUUUUCUGAGUAUUUUUGGUUCAAAAGUUCAAGCUCAAGUGAUCCUUUCCAUAAUGUCCAAUGAGGAAAUGUGCCAUUAUCGCCGUAGUUGUCAAAUCGUUUAUAUCUUUCUGCAUUAAGCCUGCAGUCAUCCAGAUGAGGUGGCUGCGGGACGUCUGAACUUUUCAGAACUUCAUCACCGGUAGUGUUGAGCAUAGUGCUCCAAGCAUUGUACAGUUGCACCAUUCUAGCUUCAGUGGUGUGCUCAUUUCUAUCUUGUUCCUCUAUCUUCUCUUGUGCAGAAGCCAACUCAUCUGUUGUUGCAGCCCCGUCUGCUCCAAAGAACAAUAGUUACAGGUUGACAGGCAUGGGCACAGCAAAACAAAGGAGAAACCUGAGUUAUCCAAUGAUACAAGUUGCAGCCAUAAGAAACUGCCAAGGAAGUGUAAUGCAUUGAGAAUAUCAUACAGCAAAAUGAUGUUGCACGAGUUUCAGAUGGGGCUGUUAAUGUAGUAUGUAUGGUCUAUGACCCACAGUUGUUUUCUUCAGUAGAAUAUAAGCUGACACAUACAGUACAAUUGUUGGUAGCUUCUGAAGAACAUAAAUGAUGCACUGCAUGCAGCAGUUCUGUUCGAUGAUUAAUCACUAGAGCAGUAAAAACUUGCAUUCCGUUAGGAUUGGGCAAAUUCAGGUAUGCUGCAGUAAGAGAUGGUGUCCG
RNAcentral lists this long non-coding RNA (1878 nucleotides) under Setaria italica (foxtail millet). Its description in RNAcentral is "long non-coding RNA (SITA_LNC000781)". The record is from RNAcentral. Lineage: Eukaryota; Viridiplantae; Streptophyta; Magnoliopsida; Poales; Poaceae.